UUGCGGCGUGCUUAACACAUGCAAGUCGAACGGAAAGGCCCUGCUUUUGUGGGGUGCUCGAGUGGCGAACGGGUGAGUAACACGUGAGUAACCUGCCCUUGACUUUGGGAUAACUUCAGGAAACUGGGGCUAAUACCGGAUAGGAGCUCCUGCUGCAUGGUGGGGGUUGGAAAGUUUCGGCGGUUGGGGAUGGACUCGCGGCUUAUCAGCUUGUUGGUGGGGUAGUGGCUUACCAAGGCUUUGACGGGUAGCCGGCCUGAGAGGGUGACCGGCCACAUUGGGACUGAGAUACGGCCCAGACUCCUACGGGAGGCAGCAGUGGGGAAUAUUGCACAAUGGGCGGAAGCCUGAUGCAGCAACGCCGCGUGCGGGAUGACGGCCUUCGGGUUGUAAACCGCUUUCGCCUGUGACGAAGCGUGAGUGACGGUAAUGGGUAAAGAAGCACCGGCUAACUACGUGCCAGCAGCCGCGGUGAUACGUAGGGUGCGAGCGUUGUCCGGAUUUAUUGGGCGUAAAGGGCUCGUAGGUGGUUGAUCGCGUCGGAAGUGUAAUCUUGGGGCUUAACCCUGAGCGUGCUUUCGAUACGGGUUGACUUGAGGAAGGUAGGGGAGAAUGGAAUUCCUGGUGGAGCGGUGGAAUGCGCAGAUAUCAGGAGGAACACCAGUGGCGAAGGCGGUUCUCUGGGCCUUUCCUGACGCCGAGGAGCGAAAGCGUGGGGAGCGAACAGGCUUAGAUACCCUGGUAGUCCACGCUGUAAACGGUGGGUACUAGGUGUGGGGUCCGUUCCACGGGUUCCGUGCCGUAGCUAACGCUUUAAGUACCCCGCCUGGGGAGUACGGCCGCAAGGCUAAAACUCAAAGGAAUUGACGGGGCCCCGCACAAGCGGCGGAGCAUGCGGAUUAAUUCGAUGCAACGCGUAGAACCUUACCUGGGUUUGACAUGGAUCGGGAGUGCUCAGAGAUGGGUGUGCCUCCUUUGGGGUCGGUUCACAGGUGGUGCAUGGCUGUCGUCAGCUCGUGUCGUGAGAUGUUGGGUUAAGUCCCGCAACGAGCGCAACCCUUGUUCACUGUUGCCAGCACGUUAUGGUGGGGACUCAGUGGAGACCGCCGGGGUCAACUCGGAGGAAGGUGGGGAUGACGUCAAGUCAUCAUGCCCCUUAUGUCCAGGGCUUCACGCAUGCUACAAUGGCUGGUACAGAGAGUGGCGAGCCUGUGAGGGUGAGCGAAUCUCGGAAAGCCGGUCUCAGUUCGGAUUGGGGUCUGCAACUCGACCUCAUGAAGUCGGAGUCGCUAGUAAUCGCAGAUCAGCAACGCUGCGGUGAAUACGUUCCCGGGGCUUGUACACACCGCCCGUCAAGUCAUGAAAGUUGGUAACACCCGAAGCCGGUGGCCUAACCGUUGUGGGGGAGCCGUCGAAGGUGGGACUGGUGAUUAGGAC
RNAcentral lists this ribosomal RNA (1437 nucleotides) under uncultured organism. RNAcentral describes it as "partial small subunit ribosomal RNA". It matches the Rfam family "Bacterial small subunit ribosomal RNA". The record is from RNAcentral.